This 195-nucleotide ribosomal RNA is filed under the name uncultured bacterium. RNAcentral describes it as "partial 16S ribosomal RNA". It matches the Rfam family "Bacterial small subunit ribosomal RNA", at positions 337 to 524 of the family's 1533-position model. The record is from RNAcentral.
UCCUACGGGAGGCAGCAGUGGGGAAUAUUGCACAAUGGAGGAAACUCUGAUGCAGCGACGCCGCGUGAGUGAUGAAGGCCUUCGGGUUGUAAACCGCUUUUGUCAGGGAAGAAAAGGCUUCUGCUAAUACCGGAGGCUCAUGACGGUACCUGAAGAAUAAGCACCGGCUAACUACGUGCCAGCAGCCGCGGUAAU